GUAAGAGCGGGGUUACUGCCCGCCUACACAGGGCUACAACCUGCCGCCUACUCGGCCACCUUACCUG
Molecule: transfer RNA, 67 nt
Filed under: Acontias gariepensis
Lineage: Eukaryota; Metazoa; Chordata; Lepidosauria; Squamata; Scincidae
Description: tRNA-Tyr
Source: RNAcentral